CCCCUAGAUGUUCUGGGCCGCACGCGCGCUACACUGAACAGUUCAACAAGUCUUAACCUUGGCCGAUAGGUCUGGGUAAUCUUUGAACGCUGUUCGUGAUUGGGAUAGACCUUUGCAAUUAUGGGUCUUCAACGAGGAAUUCCUAGUAAACGCAAGUCAUCAGCUUGCAUUGAUUACGUCCCUGCCCUUUGUACACACCGCCCGUCGCACCUACCGAUUGAAUGGUCCGGUGAAAUCUCGGGACGGCGGCUUGGUCGCUUGCGUCCGACUGCUGAAACUUGAUUAAACCAUAUCAUUCAGAGGAAGGUGAAGUCGUANCA
This 320-nucleotide ribosomal RNA is filed under the name uncultured eukaryote. Its description in RNAcentral is "partial 18S ribosomal RNA". It matches the Rfam family "Eukaryotic small subunit ribosomal RNA", at positions 1470 to 1796 of the family's 1831-position model. The record is from RNAcentral.